This 461-nucleotide ribosomal RNA is filed under the name uncultured bacterium. RNAcentral describes it as "partial 16S ribosomal RNA". It matches the Rfam family "Bacterial small subunit ribosomal RNA", at positions 355 to 803 of the family's 1533-position model. The record is from RNAcentral.
UGGGGAAUUUUGGACAAUGGGCGAAAGCCUGAUCCAGCAAUGCCGCGUGUGUGAAGAAGGCCUUCGGGUUGUAAAGCACUUUUGUCCGGAAAGAAAUCCUUGGCUCUAAUACAGUCGGGGGAUGACGGUACCGGAAGAAUAAGCACCGGCUAACUACGUGCCAGCAGCCGCGGUAAUACGUAGGGUGCAAGCGUUAAUCGGAAUUACUGGGCGUAAAGCGUGCGCAGGCGGUUUGCUAAGACCGAUGUGAAAAUCCCCGGGCUCAACCUGGGAACUGCAUUGGUGACUGGCAGGCUAGAGUAUGGCAGAGGGGGGUAGAAUUCCACGUGUAGCAGUGAAAAUGCGUAGAGAUGUGGAGGAAUACCGAUGGCGAAAGGCAGCCCCCUGGGCCAAUACUGACGCUCAUGCACGAAAAGCGUGGGGAGCAAAACAGGAUUAGAUACCCUGGUAGUCCACGCCCU